This 253-nucleotide ribosomal RNA is filed under the name uncultured bacterium. Its description in RNAcentral is "partial 16S ribosomal RNA". It matches the Rfam family "Bacterial small subunit ribosomal RNA", at positions 524 to 776 of the family's 1533-position model. The record is from RNAcentral.
UACAGAGGUCCCAAGCGUUGUUCGGAUUCACUGGGCGUAAAGGGUGCGUAGGCGGCCGGGUAAGUCUGAUGUGAAAGCUCGGAGCUCAACUCCGAAAUGGCAUCGGAAACUAUCCGGCUCGAGGAAUGGAGGGGAGACUGGAAUGCUCGGUGUAGCAGUGAAAUGCGUAGAUAUCGAGCGGAACACCAGUGGCGAAGGCGAGUCUCUGGACAUUUCCUGACGCUGAGGCACGAAAGCCUGGGGAGCAAACGGG